CAGCCGCCGCGGGAAUACGAGGGGGGCAAGCGUUGUUCGGAAUUAUUGGGCGUAAAGGGUGCGUAGGCGGUUUGAUAAGUCUUGUGUGAAAUCUAUGGGCUCAACCCAUAGUCUGCAUAGGGAACUGUCGGGCUUGAGAGUGGGAGAGGUGAGUGGAAUUUCCGGUGUAGCGGUGAAAUGCGUAGAUAUCGGAAGGAACACCUGUGGCGAAAGCGGCUCACUGGACCAUUUCUGACGCUGAUGCACGAAAGCUAGGGGAGCAAACAGGAUUAGAUACCCCCGUAGUCCCUGUCUCUUAUAC
This 301-nucleotide ribosomal RNA is filed under the name uncultured bacterium. Its description in RNAcentral is "partial 16S ribosomal RNA". It matches the Rfam family "Bacterial small subunit ribosomal RNA", at positions 509 to 807 of the family's 1533-position model. The record is from RNAcentral.